RNAcentral lists this ribosomal RNA (497 nucleotides) under uncultured bacterium. Its description in RNAcentral is "partial 16S ribosomal RNA". It matches the Rfam family "Bacterial small subunit ribosomal RNA", at positions 28 to 507 of the family's 1533-position model. The record is from RNAcentral.
GAUGAACGCUGGCGGCGUGCCUAAUACAUGCAAGUCGAGCGAACAGACGAGGAGCUUGCUCCUCUGACGUUAGCGGCGGACGGGUGAGUAACACGUGGAUAACCUACCUAUAAGACUGGGAUAACUUCGGGAAACCGGAGCUAAUACCGGAUAAUAUAUUGAACCGCAUGGUUCAAUAGUGAAAGACGGUUUUGCUGUCACUUAUAGUUGGAUCCGCGCCGCAUUAGCUAGUUGGUAAGGUAACGGCUUACCAAGGCGACGAUGCGUAGCCGACCUGAGAGGGUGAUCGGCCACAUUGGAACUGAGACACGGUCCAGACUCCUACGGGAGGCAGCAGUAGGGAAUCUUCCGCAAUGGGCGAAAGCCUGACGGAGCAACGCCGCGUGAGUGAUGAAGGUCUUCGGAUCGUAAAACUCUGUUAUUAGGGAAGAACAAAUGUGUAAGUAACUAUGCACGUCUUGACGGUACCUAAUCAGAAAGCCACGGCUAACUACGUG